GAGUUUGAUCAUGGCUCAGAACGAACGCUGGCGGCAGGCUUAACACAUGCAAGUCGAGCGCCCCGCAAGGGGAGCGGCAGACGGGUGAGUAACGCGUGGGAACGUACCAUUUGCUACGGAAUAACUCAGGGAAACUUGUGCUAAUACCGUAUGUGCCCGAAAGGGGAAAGAUUUAUCGGCAAAUGAUCGGCCCGCGUUGGAUUAGCUAGUUGGUGGGGUAAAGGCCUACCAAGGCGACGAUCCAUAGCUGGUCUGAGAGGAUGAUCAGCCACACUGGGACUGAGACACGGCCCAGACUCCUACGGGAGGCAGCAGUGGGGAAUAUUGGACAAUGGGCGCAAGCCUGAUCCAGCCAUGCCGCGUGAGUGAUGAAGGCCCUAGGGUUGUAAAGCUCUUUCACCGGUGAAGAUAAUGACGGUAACCGGAGAAGAAGCCCGGCUAACUUCGUGCCAGCCGCCGCCGUAAC
This 466-nucleotide ribosomal RNA is filed under the name uncultured Alphaproteobacteria bacterium. RNAcentral describes it as "bacterial SSU rRNA". It matches the Rfam family "Bacterial small subunit ribosomal RNA", at positions 9 to 524 of the family's 1533-position model. Lineage: Bacteria; Pseudomonadati; Pseudomonadota; Alphaproteobacteria. The record is from RNAcentral.